RNAcentral lists this long non-coding RNA (2458 nucleotides) under Mytilus galloprovincialis (Mediterranean mussel). The record is from RNAcentral. Lineage: Eukaryota; Metazoa; Mollusca; Bivalvia; Mytilida; Mytilidae.
GAUGAAUAAGCUUCCGGUUGUAUGAUUUAAUUUUUUUACUAACAAUGCGUGUUUCAGAUUUUUUUAGUUGUUAGAUCAUAAUUUUAAAAUUAGUUUAAAUUAACAAAUGUGUUAAGGAAGGUUUUUUUUCACUGGCAUGGAUUAUAUUUUUCGCUACAGAAAAAAAUAAUAAGUUGCCAGAUUUCUUUUUACAUUACCAUCAUUAGAAGGGAAAGUAUGGAUUUCUUUAAAGAAGUAUUUCGAGCUGCAUUUGUUUUACCGUUUUCGGCCGGUAAUGUAGACGAGAAGAAUGGUUCACACGACGGCAGCCUGGCAGGACUUUUACUGAUGUCUACUUCAAUCGCUAUCCUUUCUGAGAUUCUAAUGAUUGGGUUUUCAACUAACGAGACUAUUUCGUCUAAAUUCAGCGUUGGACUAGCAGUCUUAUCAUUUCUGUCUGCUCUAGCGAUUGUAAUUUGCGUGUGUAUUAGUUUAUACGUGUCAUCAAGAGGGAACAGUGUGUUUCGUAUUUUACCAUGGAAUACAUGUAAUACAAUAAGACUAAGGUUUUUGUGGAUUUUUUGUUUCAGCUGUAUUAUUUCAAGAACAUUGGACAUGACUUUUUAUAUUGAUUGUCUAACUAACUCGAUGAAAUUGAAAUUUACAGUAGACAAUAUAGUAUAUGAUCUGGUCUGUAUAGUAUUUUACGUUGUACAAACUGCAUUCAUAACAUAUUUUUCGCAUUCGCGAUUUACCAGCCACCUUGGUGUUUAUUAUGGAUUACUUAUUAUAUUCCUAACAAAUAUUUCCGUAAUAUGUCAUGCAUUGGCUUUUACUUUUAAACCUAAGGAAGUUGACAUGGUUGACAUUUUUAAUUUGACGACAAAUACCCAACAUACUUCGAGUAAUACAUCUUGCUACAAGUCAAGUAUGUACGCAGUAUUGAUGAAGAUUGAUCCUUUCUUGCUACCGGCAUUUUGUGAAUAUUCGCUUGUUUCAAUAACAUUUAUUAUGAAUAUGUGGCCAAAAUUUGGAUUGAAAAAUGACGAAUUUGUGCUGGAUGAUAUUUCACUUGACGUAAACAGAGAAACGUCAGAGUCGACGAGCAAUUUAAGAGGAUCGAUAAAUGGUAGGUCAGAUUCGACAAAUACCAGGCGGAAUAAUGAGCGUAUUCCUUUAUUAGACAACCCUGAAAGCACAACAAACUACAGACAACACCGUAUAAGAAGAUUUAUAAGCAUAUCUGUUCCUAUUCUUCUUAAUCUGCCGUCAGUAAUAUUAUACUGUUUACACAUUUCAAAAGUACCAUCUGUACAUUUAGGCUUAACAAUAUCAAUUGCUUUAGGAGAUACCAUUGAGCUGCUUUUGUACGUGAAAUGUUUUUUCUCUCUUCAGACGCAAUGCAAACCUUUGAAACAAAAGGAAUGUUCCUCUCUUGAUUCUGGUGAUUACAUUCUAAUUGCAAGUGCGGUUGCAGCAAUAUCAUAUUACACGGUAAAACUUAUGUCAAAUAUUUACAAUGUCAACUCUGAAGCUACAUAUGCUAUAGGUUUUUAUAAACUUGUUAUUGAUAUUAUCGCAGCUUAUUUCCAAACAGUUUUCAUCUUACAAAUGAAAAAAUAUUCGAAGGCUUUUAAUAUAUCCUCGUGGACGUCUGUUGAAUACACUUGUUUAUUAAUGUCUUUUAUGAAUUUAUGCUCAUGGGCGGCUGAUACUUUAAUAGUUUCACAAUAUGUUUACCAAAAUGACGCACCAUAUCAUUUCUUUGGGUCAUCUGACUGGACAGAAAUCUUUGGAUUUUUAUACCCAUUUGUGAUCUUUUACAGAUUCAAUGCUUUCGUAUCCUUUUAUGGUUUGUAUGAUAGAUUGAAACAUUAACUUGACUUAAAUAGAAGGCGGCACAAUUUGAUCACAUACAUAUUUGGUUUUAUCAAUGUUAAAAAAACAUUAAUUUACAAAGACAUCCAUUAAAAGGAUAGAUACCAUGGAAUGAUAAAAAAUGUUGAAGGGACUUUUAUCGCUUUCAUGUAGGACUUCGGACUGAAUGUUUACAUGAGGGUUCUAAUAUUUUAUAUUCACUUUCUGUCUAUGCGGAGAAGAGUUUGUUAUUUCCUAGGUUCUAUUUUUAAAUUAUACAAAUUGAAGGGCAAGACCUUAAACACUAACAUUAGGUCCGAACUUAAAAAUCUAAUAAACAAUAAUUGUCUUAUCAUACGUUGUACCUCAAAAAAAGAAUGACGCUUUACUUACAUUUGUUAACUUUGAUUAUAGCUAUGAUUAUGAUACACUAAAAUGUUUUAUAGCAUGCAUUUAAUAUAUUAAUUGCUGAUGGAGAUAUGAUAACUAGACGUCCAUCGAGAGCUCAGUAAUUUUUAUAUGCGUUAUAUACAUUUAAAACAUGUUUAACAAAUAUCAAGAUUUUCAUACAUCAUGAUUAUUGUCUUUGUCAUUACAAAAAUAUAUAAUAAAUACUUCCACC